This 253-nucleotide ribosomal RNA is filed under the name uncultured bacterium. RNAcentral's name for it is "partial 16S ribosomal RNA". It matches the Rfam family "Bacterial small subunit ribosomal RNA", at positions 524 to 776 of the family's 1533-position model. The record is from RNAcentral.
UACAGAGGGUGCAAGCGUUGCUCGGAUUUACUGGGCGUAAAGCGUACGCAGACGGCCAGACAAGUCGGGUGUGAAAGCCCCGGGCUCAACCCGGGAACUGCAUUCGAAACUAUCGGGCUCGAGUAUGAGAGAGGAAAGCGGAAUUCCUGGUGUAGAGGUGAAAUUCGUAGAUAUCAGGAGGAACACCGGCGGCGAAGGCGGCUUUCUGGCUCAUUACUGACGUUCAGGUACGAAAGCGUGGGUAGCAAACAGG